Molecule: unclassified non-coding RNA, 327 nt
Filed under: soil metagenome
Description: partial contains 5.8S ribosomal RNA, internal transcribed spacer 2, and large subunit ribosomal RNA
Rfam family: 5.8S ribosomal RNA (bases 1-120)
Source: RNAcentral
GAUGAAGAACGUAGCGAAAUGCGAUAAGUAAUGUGAAUUGCAGAAUUCAGUGAAUCAUCGAAUCUUUGAACGCACAUUGCGCCCCUUGGUAUUCCGAGGGGCAUGCCUGUUCGAGCGUCAUUUUGACCACUCCCGCUUGCGGGGUCUUGGGCCUUCGCCUCUGGGCGGGCCUUAAAAUCAGUGGCGGUGCCGUCCGGCUCUAAGCGUAGUAAAUCUCCUCGCUAUAGGGUUCCGGAGGGAAGCUGGCCAACAACCCCCAACUUUUAAGGUUGACCUCGGAUCAGGUAGGGAUACCCGCUGAACUUAAGCAUAUCAAUAAGCGGAGGA